This 1258-nucleotide ribosomal RNA is filed under the name uncultured Sebacina. RNAcentral describes it as "eukaryotic LSU rRNA". The stretch from base 582 to 1258 matches the Rfam family "Eukaryotic large subunit ribosomal RNA", at positions 1 to 656 of the family's 3401-position model. Lineage: Eukaryota; Fungi; Basidiomycota; Agaricomycetes; Sebacinales; Sebacinaceae. The record is from RNAcentral.
UUCCGUAGGUGAACCUGCGGAAGGAUCAUUAAUGAAACUUCAAAGUCGGCCCUGUUGUUGCUGGUGGUCAAACACAUGUGCACACUCGGUCGCAAAUCCACACACACCUGUGCAUCUAUGACUCGAGGUUGUAACGACCAAGAGUACUUUUUAUAUACACUCUGAAUGUAAYGGAAUGUCUUUUUGUGCUGUAAUAUGUACAACUAAAAACAACUUUCAACAACGGAUCUCUUGGCUCUCGCAUCGAUGAAGAACGCAGCGAAAUGCGAUAAGUAAUGUGAAUUGCAGAAUUCAGUGAAUCAUCGAAUCUUUGAACGCACCUUGCACCCUUUGGUAUUCCGAAGGGUACGCCCGUUUGAGUGUCAUUGUAAUCUCACUUCCACACCUUUAUUGUYGUGUUGGAAUGUGGACUUGGAUGUUGUGGUGUUACAACCACUCGUCUCAAAUGCUUGAGUGUACCCUGCUUUGCAGCGUAUCGGGUGUGAUAAACAUUUCACCAGAGUUGGUCGCAAGACCACGCUAUUGCUCAGUUUAAAGGCUCUAUGCUUCGAACCGUCUCUCUGAGACAAUCUCUGACAAUUUGACCUCAAAUCGGGUGGGACUACCCGCUGAACUUAAGCAUAUCAAUAAGCGGAGGAAAAGAAACUAACAAGGAUUCCCCUAGUAACGGCGAGUGAAGAGGGAAAAGCUCAAAUUUUGAAUCUGGUGUCUUUGACUCCCGAGUUGUAAUCUAGAGAAGUGUUUUCCGUGUCGGACCGUGUACAAGUUCCCUGGAACGGGAUGUCAUAGAGGGUGAGAAUCCCGUAUAUGCCACGGACUACCGAUGCUCUGUGAUACACUCUCAACGAGUCGAGUUGUUUGGGAAUGCAGCUCAAAAUGGGUGGUAAAUUCCAUCUAAAGCUAAAUAUUGGCGAGAGACCGAUAGCGAACAAGUACCGUGAGGGAAAGAUGAAAAGCACUUUGGAAAGAGAGUGAAACAGUACGUGAAAUUGUUGAAAGGGAAGCGUUUGAAGUCAGUCACAUCUGUUGGGAUUCAGCCUGGCUUUUGCCUGGUGUAUUUCCUUUCCGAUGGGUCAGCAUCAGUUUUGACCGAGGGAAAAAGACAUUUGGAAUGUGGCUGUCCUCGGGCAGUGUUAUAGCCUUGUGUUGUAUGUCUCGGUUGGGACUGAGGAUCGCAGCGCGCCAUAAAUGGCCGGGGGUCGCUCCUCUCGACACGCGCUUAGGAUGCUGGCAUAAUGGCUUUAAGCGACCCGUCUUG